UGCGGGUGUGGCGGAACUGGCAGACGCGCUAGAUUUAGGUUCUAGUGUCUUACGACGUGGGGGUUCGAGUCCCUUCACCCGCAU
This 84-nucleotide transfer RNA is filed under the name Secundilactobacillus silagei JCM 19001. RNAcentral's name for it is "tRNA-Leu". It matches the Rfam family "tRNA". From Rfam's summary of the family: Transfer RNA (tRNA) molecules are approximately 80 nucleotides in length. Their secondary structure includes four short double-helical elements and three loops (D, anti-codon, and T loops). Further hydrogen bonds mediate the characteristic L-shaped molecular structure. tRNAs have two regions of fundamental functional importance: the anti-codon, which is responsible for specific mRNA codon recognition, and the 3' end, to which the tRNAs corresponding amino acid is attached (by aminoacyl-tRNA synthetases). tRNAs cope with the degeneracy of the genetic code in two manners: having more than one tRNA (with a specific anti-codon) for a particular amino acid; and 'wobble' base-pairing, i.e. permitting non-standard base-pairing at the 3rd anti-codon position. Lineage: Bacteria; Bacillati; Bacillota; Bacilli; Lactobacillales; Lactobacillaceae. The record is from RNAcentral. RNAcentral also lists the same sequence under 5 other names.